CUUCAAUUCGGAGUUCUACAGGAUCGUGUUGUUCGACCAGAGAGGCACUGGAAGAGCACUCCCCAUGCUUGUCUAUAGGAGAACACCACCUGGGACUUGGUGGCUGACAUUGAGAAGGUACAGCGGCGCUGCUGGUUCCUUGAGGCCAGGUCGAGUUGAGGUAGGGGAUAGGAAGGUUCAGCCGCUCGGGU
Long non-coding RNA from Triticum dicoccoides, 191 nucleotides. RefSeq lists it as uncharacterized. The transcript has 3 exons. Lineage: Eukaryota; Viridiplantae; Streptophyta; Magnoliopsida; Poales; Poaceae. The record is from RefSeq and is a predicted model, not a curated record.